GACGGACGCUGGCGGCGUGCUUAACACAUGCAAGUCGAACGGAAAGGCCCUGCUUUUGUGGGGUGCUCGAGUGGCGAACGGGUGAGUAACACGUGAGUAACCUGCCCUUGACUUUGGGAUAACUUCAGGAAACUGGGGCUAAUACCGGAUAGGAGCUCCUGCUGCAUGGUGGGGGUUGGAAAGUUUCGGCGGUUGGGGAUGGACUCGCGGCUUAUCAGCUUGUUGGUGGGGUAGUGGCUUACCAAGGCUUUGACGGGUAGCCGGCCUGAGAGGGUGACCGGCCACAUUGGGACUGAGAUACGGCCCAGACUCCUACGGGAGGCAGCAGUGGGGAAUAUUGCACAAUGGGCGGAAGCCUGAUGCAGCAACGCCGCGUGCGGGAUGACGGCCUUCGGGUUGUAAACCGCUUUCGCCUGUGACGAAGCGUGAGUGGCGGUAAUGGGUAAAGAAGCACCGGCUAACUACGUG
This 468-nucleotide ribosomal RNA is filed under the name uncultured bacterium. Its description in RNAcentral is "partial 16S ribosomal RNA". It matches the Rfam family "Bacterial small subunit ribosomal RNA", at positions 28 to 507 of the family's 1533-position model. The record is from RNAcentral.